CUUGCUGCGGACGUGGUUGUCUGUCCUUCCCCCGGGGAUGCCGUUGACUGUGGCCGUCUCAGGCUCGCGUGGCUUCUCUCUGCCCGGCCUCGCCGUCCUUGCAGCGUGGGGCUCAAAAGGGAUAGACAAAGCCCUUCCCGGCUGUGGACAGGAGCUGCCUCGGCUGAAGCUGGAGACACCAACGAAAGGUGGAGGAUGGCCUAGAGUCUGGAGCUGCAGAAGAGGCAGGGAGGAGAGAAGGGGAAACAAGCAUCUGAACGGCUAAAUUGUGCCAGCAGCGCUGAGAGCGAGAGUCACGAGACCUUGCUGAGGACGUGGUUGUCUGUCCUUCCCCCGGGGAUGCCGUUGACUGUGGCCGUCUCAGGCUCGCGUGGCUUCUCUCUGCCCGGCCUCACCGUCCUUGCAGCGCGGGGGCGAAAAGGGACACACAGAGCCCUUCCCGGCUGUGGACAGGAGCUGCCUCGGCUGAAGCUGGAGACACCAACGAAAGGUAAAGAAGAAGAAA
This is a non-coding RNA of Phalacrocorax carbo (great cormorant), 505 nucleotides long. The record is from RefSeq and is a predicted model, not a curated record. Lineage: Eukaryota; Metazoa; Chordata; Aves; Suliformes; Phalacrocoracidae.